Long non-coding RNA from Falco peregrinus (peregrine falcon), 2820 nucleotides. RefSeq lists it as uncharacterized. The record is from RefSeq and is a predicted model, not a curated record. The transcript is spliced from 2 exons. Lineage: Eukaryota; Metazoa; Chordata; Aves; Falconiformes; Falconidae.
CAUGCCAUCCCAUCCCAUCCCAUCCCAUGCUGUGCCAUCCCGUGUCAUCCUGUGCCAUCUCAUCCCAUCCCAUCUCGUCCCGUGCUGUGCCAUGCCAUGCCGUGCCAUCCCAUUCCAUGCCGUGCCAUGCCAUGCCGUCCCAUUCCUUCCCAUCCCAUCCCAUGCUGUGCCGUGCCAUCCCUUCCCAUGCCAUGCUGCCUGGUGCCAUGCUGUCCAGUCCCGUGCAUGCCAUCCCUCCCCACCCCACCCCACCCCGUGCCACCCCGUGCUAUGCUACCCCAUGCAGUGCCACCCAUGCCACCCCACGCUGUCCCACCCCACCAUCCCCAAGGCCCAGGCGCUUGCCAGGGCUGAGCCCUUUCCCCCCACCUGCACCCCCAGAGCCCCCCCCAUGGCGUUUGCUCCCCCAUUAGGGACCAGCCACCCUGAGCCCCCACCCCUGCCUGGGCACGGUGCGGGGUGCCACCCCUCUGUCCCCCCCAGCCCCCAGGUCCUGGAGGACGACGAUUAUUUCCUGGAGACCGAGGCCAGCCCCAGGGACCAGCCCAUCUACGCCAACACGCAGAGCGCCAGCGAGGACAUCUACAUUGUCCCCGACAAGUGAGGGGCCGGGGGGCCGGGGGGGGUGAACCUCUGGCUCCCGCUGAUGCUUCUCCCCAGGACUUUCCCUGGUGCCCCGCAGCCCAGAGGGGACGGGGCUGGGUGCUCCCCAUGGACGUUGGCUCCAUGGAUGUCCCCAUGGUGGGGACAGGGACACAUGUGGUCCCCACACACACAUCCUGCUAAGGACGCCUUUUUCAGGGGUGGGUUGUUUGUGACACCACCCAGCCCCCUGCUUCUCCCCGGUUCCCACUGUAGGGUGAGGGCUGAGGGCCAGAGCUUCCUCCCCGGGGCCCGUGGCCUCUGACCGCAGGGACACCUCUGCGCAGCAUCCGCCACCAUCUGGCAUGUCCGGCCUGAGCGGGGCCCUGGGGUGACCAUGGCGUUUGGUUCCUCUUCCCCUUUCGGCUGCUGAUGGAGAGUGUCAGGGUGCACGUGCCCUUGGGGACAUGCCAGCAGUUGGGGACUUCUGGGUACUGGGACCACCCUCCGCGCUGUCACCUUCACCCCUCCUUUUUCCUGCUAAAUCUGCCCGUUUGGGGAACAAAAGUGAAAGUCCCUAAUUUGAAUGCUCUUGGCAAGAUCCCCGAGCCCCACGCUGCCAGGCUGUGCACCCCGAGGGGACCGGCAGCCUGGGGACAUGGGGACCCCACGGCUUGUCUGGGUCCCCUGAGCUCUGACCCUUGUGAUGCUCCACCAUGCCCCAUUAAAUGGUUUAAUUACCUUAAAUGACCCAUGUAGCUGGUGGUCUGCUGGGAGCCCUGGGCAGGACAUGGUGGAGGGGGGGAGGGGCUGCCCCCAAGGCUGGUGUCACCCCCGGGCUGGAUCGGUCCCUCUGCAGCAGUGGGGUGGCACCAGCGGAGCAGAGCCAGGGUUUCGUUAUCUCUUAAUGCACUGACAGCCCCAAUUAGGGGCGUCAGGAGCUCUGGGGUGUCUGUAAACAUUAACCUGAAAGAGCUGAGUGAGGUGGGGGGUCCCUGGGGAACCUGUCUGCAGCUUAAAAAGCCUGUGUCCCCAGAGCGGGGGUCCCAAGGGACCAGGACCAUCAAGGACAGGUCCCAAGGACCCUCGAGGAUAGGUCCCCAGAGCCCGUGUCCCCAGACUGGGGGUCCCAAGGGCCCUCAACGGCAGAUCCCCAGAGCCUGUGUUCCCAGAGUGGGGGUCCCAAGGAUCCAGGACCCUUGAGAACAGGUCUCCAGAGUGGGGGUCCCAAGGGCCCUCAAGGACAGGUCCCUAGAGCCUGUGUCCCCAGACUAGGGGUCCCAAGGGACCAGGACCAUCAAGGACAGGUCCCCAGAGCCUGUGUCCCCUGUGUCCCCAGACUGGGGGUCCCAAGGGACCAGGACCCUCGAGAACAGGUCCCCAGAGCAGGGGUCCCCAGAGUGGAGGUGGCUGAAGUCCAGCUCCCUCAAGUCUCUGUCCCCAAGAGUGGACAUCCCCAUAGCUUGUGUCCCUCAAACCCUGGUCUGCAAAGACCCUGUCCCCAGCAUCAAGGUCCCAUAUCCCACGUUCCUCAAGCCCAGGUCCUCAACAGGAGCUGCCAAGGGGCCGGGCAGCCAAGCACACCCCCAGUACAUGCUGGAAGAGGGGACAGGACAGAGAGGAGCUGUGGCCAGCAGAGCCACCCUAUCCAGCUGUGCUGAGUCCCUUGGGGACACGGUGUGGGCCACACACCUCUGCAGCGACAGAGCCCAGGGGGAGCUGGGGUUUCCCCCACCCCUUGGUGCCCGUAGGGUUCCAGAGCCGGAGGUACCUGGAAAUCGGGCAGCAGUAUUCCGGAUGGAUGUCCCGCCUGGCGGGGUCAAGGCUGUGCCCAGCACCCACCUCAAGGACACAAACAACUCAAAGGUCUCUGGGAGCAUCGCCCAGGCAUUACUCACCACCGGCAGCAGUGGCAGGGAGGGGAUGGGGCUGGCCCGGCCCCGGAAAACCAUAAGGAUUUACUGGCAAAUCCAUAUGGAGUCAGUUCCUGGCCACUUGCAGAGGGGGAACUGAGGAUCCGAGCUGUGGGACCCCGGCCAAAGGUGACCCGGAGACCCCCAGCUGGUUGUAUGGGAGGUGCAACCAGCAUCCCUGAUAGCAUCACCCUGUUCAUUACAUUAUUACUUUAUUUCUGUUUUAUAGAAAUAUACUAAAUACAAAUACACACACACACACACACAAAAUCUUUCCUGAAAAAGUAUUUUGUUAUAAAAGACAAUAAAUUAGCAAUAAAUAAGA